Molecule: long non-coding RNA, 1041 nt
Filed under: Chloebia gouldiae (Gouldian finch)
Lineage: Eukaryota; Metazoa; Chordata; Aves; Passeriformes; Passeridae
Description: Erythrura gouldiae (Gouldian finch) lncRNA (ENSEGOG00005008928.1)
Source: RNAcentral
CUGUGGGCUGGGAUCUGUGAGCCCUGUGGUUCAGCCACUCUUUCAAGAGGGUUUGGGAUAGGGAAGCUGGGGGAUCUCUGCUGUGAUUUGAGGGCAGAGCUGAGACCACAGGGUGGGGUUGGACUGGGCAGGAUGGAGCUUGUGGUACCAGGAGAGGGGACUGUGCUGGCUGGAGACCCCAAUUGCUGCAGAGAGCAGUAGGUUGGAGGCUGUGGGGGCCAGUAGCAGCAGAAGCAGAGGGUGCUGUAAGAACCACUGUACAAGGAUGGCUGGAGGACAGAUCCCACUGGGAAUGACUCAUGGACAAUCAGAAAACACCCUUGGCUCUGAAGACAAAGGCAGAGAGCACCAAACUGCCCUCCUGUUCCAUGCUGGAGGGAUACCUGGACCAGAGCCUGCAGACAGCCUGGACUGGGAAGUGGCACCUGAGCAUCCUGGAUGGUCCUUCCAUCACCCCUGGAACCACUGCAGCACCUGAGGAGGCUCAGAGCUUCCCUGCACUCCAGCAGCAGCCCCCAACUCACUGCAGACAUCCUGCAGCCAGGUCUGCUGGACUUCAGCCUGGCUUCCAAGAACUGGUCCUUCUGGAAAACAUAAAGGGAGACAAGGCACUUUCUGAGGGAGCACUGGAGUCCGGGGAAUUGACAGUUUCACUCCUGGGUCACACCGAGGUACAAACAUUACCACACCUGCUUUGCUCUCUUGGGGCAUCUGCAGCAUUUAGGCACAAAGCCUGCAUCCCGCAGGAACUUUGUAAUGGCACAAGGGACUCCCCAGUGCUCUCAUCUUUCCUGGAUGGCUCUGCUGGUACCAUCUCCUCAGGGACCAAAGCACAGCCCCCUCCAUCACCCAGCCCUGUGGUAGGCUGCCAGCCCGUUGGGGAAGAGAUGGGAAAGUGUCCACUUGAUGUGCCUGAAAAGCAGCACACAUCUCCCUGUUGCUAUGGAAACACUGCUUUUAAAGCAAAUUAAUAAUAAUAAUUAACACGAUCUAUUAAAUAAUGGUAAUAAAAGCAUUAGUAAUGACUUGUAAUUGGUAAAG